This is a long non-coding RNA of Quercus robur (English oak), 1164 nucleotides long. RefSeq lists it as uncharacterized. The record is from RefSeq and is a predicted model, not a curated record. The transcript is spliced from 3 exons. Lineage: Eukaryota; Viridiplantae; Streptophyta; Magnoliopsida; Fagales; Fagaceae.
UGGACACACGGAAAUAGAAAUAGAGAGGCGAUGAGAGAGAGAGAGAGAGAGAGAGAGAGAGAGAGAGGCGACGAGGAAACGGGGAAUGAAGCAGAGAAGGAGAAAAAAAAAUAAGAGAGAAAAAAGCUUGUGAUGCAGAGAUGAGAAGGAGACAGAGGCUUGCAAUACUCAAAAAAAAAAUAAAUAAAUAAAGCGCUGGAUACAGAGAGAGUUCUCCGUUCCCUCGCCAGACGUAGAGCACCGCUCAAGCAGAAAGAAAAAUCUAUGGGCAUCAACACCGUUAGGCUAUAUAUCUGCCACCAUCAGAUCGUCGGAAUUGGCUUCGUUUAAGGUGAGUAGAAGCAUGAAGGCAAGCAGAUGUAGAAGCUGUCCAGGAAGCCAGACUUAAGAUAAAGCUUAAGAGAUAAAGCAGCAUGACAAGCAUUAGAGCAUUGUAUAGAUUCGAUUUACAAAUUUGGAUAACUACAAUAUAGAUGUUUAAAUCUAAACUACAAGAUCAGCAUAAACAAAACUCCUAGAAUAUAGCUUCAGUUUCUUUCUAUCUUAUCUCUUCUAUUUGAAAAUGGUUGUGAUCAUGUAGUCUUUGAAUUUGAGUAGGCUGACUCCAUUGUGGUUGCACCUUAUCAUUAUCUGCCCCACCAAGGGGAUAUGAUGGUGGGCAUGGUACUGCUGGUCGAGGAGGGUUAUGGUGGUGCUUCUGCUGAGGCCCCAGAUGUGACAACUGAAGAACUAAGGAGCUUUUUGGAGGCAUUGGACAACUGUUAUACAGGUCUCCAUUCCCAGUGCAUUGAGUAUGCUCUCAGUUAUUGAUGGCGAAGGCAAAACAAGAAUGCAGAUCUUCUUUAACUUCAUCCCUGGAUUAGGCUCACCAUACCCCUGGCUCAGAUCGCCACGAUCUGAGGAAGGAGGUUUGCAAUUGAUAGAACUUCUUGGAGAAUGUGCUAGCCAUGUAACUGCCAGAUGUCUUCAUAGUGUUAAUACCAGGCUUGAACAUAUUUCCUAUCUUGCCUCUCCUAAAGGCACUGCAAUUCAGCAAAUUGCUUCAUAUUUCAUUGAGGCAUUUGCUGAUAGGAUGAUUAAAGGCUUUACUGGUCUCUUUUGCAAUAAAAACAUGAUGUGUUCCAGGAAUCAAUUUCGUUGGAUGAAAGUUAAGUUCAAAACUAA